This 460-nucleotide ribosomal RNA is filed under the name uncultured bacterium. RNAcentral's name for it is "partial 16S ribosomal RNA". It matches the Rfam family "Bacterial small subunit ribosomal RNA", at positions 338 to 795 of the family's 1533-position model. The record is from RNAcentral.
CCUACGGGGGGCUGCAGUGAGGAAUAUUGGUCAAUGGACGAGAGCCUGAACCAGCCAAGUAGCGUGAAGGAUGACUGCCCUAUGGGUUGUAAACUUCUUUUAUAUGGGAAUAAAAUGUUCCACGUGUGGGAUUUUGUAUGUACCAUAUGAAUAAGGAUCGGCUAACUCCGUGCCAGCAGCCGCGGUAAUACGGAGGAUCCGAGCGUUAUCCGGAUUUAUUGGGUUUAAAGGGAGCGUAGGUGGAUUGUUAAGUCAGUUGUGAAAGUUUGCGGCUCAACCGUAAAAUUGCAGUUGAUACUGGCAGUCUUGAGUACAGGAGAGGUGGGCGGAAUUCGUGGUGUAGCGGUGAAAUGCUUAGAUAUCACGAAGAACUCCGAUUGCGAAGGCAGCUCACUGGACUGCAACUGACACUGAGGCUCGAAAGUGUGGGUAUCAAACAGGAUUAGAUACCCCAGUAGUC